This 428-nucleotide ribosomal RNA is filed under the name Phrudus sp. BIOUG03667-G07. RNAcentral describes it as "partial 16S ribosomal RNA". Lineage: Eukaryota; Metazoa; Arthropoda; Insecta; Hymenoptera; Ichneumonidae. The record is from RNAcentral.
GUCUUUUUGAUUAUAAUUUAAGGUUUGACCUGCUCAAUGAAUUUUAAAUAGCUGCAGUAUUUUGACUGUACAAAGGUAGCAUAAUCAAUAGUUUUUUAAUUGGAAGCUGGAAUGAAUGGUUUAAUGAAAUAUAAACUGUAUUAAAUUUAAAAAUAUAUAAUUUUUUUUUUAGUUAAAAAACUUAAAUGAAAUUAAAAGACGAGAAGACCCUAUAGAUUUUUAUAAAUUAAAAAUUAAAUAAUAAUUUAAAUUAAUAUAAUUUAAAAUUUAAUUUAUUUGAUUGGGGUGAUUAUUAAAUUUAUAAAACUUUAAUUUUAAAAACAUAAAUUAAUGAAUAAUUGAUCUUAUUUUAUAGAUUAUAAGAAUAAAUUACCUUAGGGAUAACAGCGUAAUUUUUUUAGAGAGACCAUAUUGAUAAAAAAGAUUGC